Molecule: ribosomal RNA, 590 nt
Filed under: uncultured bacterium
Lineage: Bacteria
Description: partial 16S ribosomal RNA
Rfam family: Bacterial small subunit ribosomal RNA
Source: RNAcentral
UGGGGAAUUUUGGACAAUGGGCGAAAGCCUGAUCCAGCAAUGCCGCGUGUGUGAAGAAGGCCUUCGGGUUGUAAAGCACUUUUGUCCGGAAAGAAAUCCUUGGCUCUAAUACAGUCGGGGGAUGACGGUACCGGAAGAAUAAGCACCGGCUAACUACGUGCCAGCAGCCGCGGUAAUACGUAGGGUGCAAGCGUUAAUCGGAAUUACUGGGCGUAAAGCGUGCGCAGGCGGUUUGCUAAGACCGAUGUGAAAUCCCCGGGCUCAACCUGGGAACUGCAUUGGUGACUGGCAGGCUAGAGUAUGGCAGAGGGGGGUAGAAUUCCACGUGUAGCAGUGAAAUGCGUAGAGAUGUGGAGGAAUACCGAUGGCGAAGGCAGCCCCCUGGGGCCAAUACUGACGCUCAUGCACGAAAGCGUGGGGAGCAAAACAGGAUUAGAUACCCUGGUAGUCCACGCCCUAAACGAUGUCAACUAGUUGUUGGGGGAUUCAUUUUCCUUAGUAACGUAGCUAACGCGUGAAGUUGACCGCCUGGGGAGUACGGUCGCAAGAUUAAAACUUUAAAGGAAUUGACGGGGUCAUAGCUGUUUCCU